This 454-nucleotide ribosomal RNA is filed under the name Rothia dentocariosa. RNAcentral describes it as "bacterial SSU rRNA". It matches the Rfam family "Bacterial small subunit ribosomal RNA", at positions 28 to 489 of the family's 1533-position model. Lineage: Bacteria; Bacillati; Actinomycetota; Actinomycetes; Micrococcales; Micrococcaceae. The record is from RNAcentral.
GACGAACGCUGGCGGCGUGCUUAACACAUGCAAGUCGAACGAUGAAGCCUAGCUUGCUAGGUGGAUUAGUGGCGAACGGGUGAGUAAUACGUGAGUGACCUACCUUUGACUCUGGGAUAAGCCUGGGAAACUGGGUCUAAUACCGGAUACGACCAAUCUCCGCAUGGGGUGUUGGUGGAAAGCGUUAUGGAGUGGUUUUAGAUGGGCUCACGGCCUAUCAGCUUGUUGGUGAGGUAAUGGCUUACCAAGGCGACGACGGGUAGCCGGCCUGAGAGGGUGACCGGCCACACUGGGACUGAGACACGGCCCAGACUCCUACGGGAGGCAGCAGUGGGGAAUAUUGCACAAUGGGCGCAAGCCUGAUGCAGCGACGCCGCGUGAGGGAUGACGGCCUUCGGGUUGUAAACCUCUGUUAGCAUCGAAGAAGCGAAAGUGACGGUAAGGUGCAGAGAAA